This 492-nucleotide ribosomal RNA is filed under the name uncultured bacterium. RNAcentral's name for it is "partial 16S ribosomal RNA". It matches the Rfam family "Bacterial small subunit ribosomal RNA", at positions 29 to 507 of the family's 1533-position model. The record is from RNAcentral.
AGUGAACGCUGGCGGUAGGCCUAACACAUGCAAGUCGAACGGCAGCACAGUAAGAGCUUGCUCUUACGGGUGGCGAGUGGCGGACGGGUGAGGAAUACAUCGGAAUCUACUUUUUCGUGGGGGAUAACGUAGGGAAACUUACGCUAAUACCGCAUACGACCUACGGGUGAAAGCAGGGGAUCUUCGGACCUUGCGCGAUUGAAUGAGCCGAUGUCGGAUUAGCUAGUUGGCGGGGUAAAGGCCCACCAAGGCGACGAUCCGUAGCUGGUCUGAGAGGAUGAUAAGCCACACUGGAACAGAGACACAGUACAGACUCCUACGAGAGGCAGCAGUCGGGAACAAAGGACAAUGGGGGCAAGCCUGAUCCAGCCAUACCGCAUGGGUGAGGAAGUCCUUCGGGUUGUCAAGCCCUUUUGUUGGGAAAGAAAAGCAGCAAGUUCAUACACCGCUAAUCUGACGGUACCCAAAAAAUAAGCACCGGCUAACUUCGUG